RNAcentral lists this ribosomal RNA (254 nucleotides) under uncultured bacterium. RNAcentral's name for it is "partial 16S ribosomal RNA". It matches the Rfam family "Bacterial small subunit ribosomal RNA", at positions 524 to 776 of the family's 1533-position model. The record is from RNAcentral.
UACGGGGGGAGCAAGCGUUGUUCGGAUUUACUGGGCGUAAAGGGCGCGUAGGCGGUCAGCACAAGUCAGUUGUGAAAUCUCCGGGCUUAACUCUGAAAGGUCAACUGAUACUGUGCGACUAGAGUGCAGAAGGGGCAACUGGAAUUCUCGGUGUAGCGGUGAAAUGCGUAGAUAUCGAGAGGAACACCUGCGGCGAAGGCGGGUUGCUGGGCUGACACUGACGCUGAUGCGCGAAAGCCAGGGGAGCGAACGGG